This 484-nucleotide ribosomal RNA is filed under the name uncultured bacterium. Its description in RNAcentral is "partial 16S ribosomal RNA". It matches the Rfam family "Bacterial small subunit ribosomal RNA", at positions 30 to 507 of the family's 1533-position model. The record is from RNAcentral.
AUUGAACGCUGGCGGCAGGCCUAACACAUGCAAGUCGAGCGGAUGAAGGGAGCUUGCUCCUGGAUUCAGCGGCGGACGGGUGAGUAAUGCCUAGGAAUCUGCCUGGUAGUGGGGGAUAACGUCCGGAAACGGGCGCUAAUACCGCAUACGUCCUGAGGGAGAAAGUGGGGGAUCUUCGGACCUCACGCUAUCAGAUGAGCCUAGGUCGGAUUAGCUAGUUGGUGGGGUAAAGGCCUACCAAGGCGACGAUCCGUAACUGGUCUGAGAGGAUGAUCAGUCACACGGGAACUGAGAAACGGUCCAGACUCCUACGGGAGGCAGCAGUGGGGAAUAUUGGACAAUGGGCGAAAGCCUGAUACAGCCAUGCCGCGUGUGUGAAGAAGGUCUUCGGAUUGGAAAGCACUUUAAGUUGGGAGGAAGGGCAGUAAGUUAAUACCUUGCUGUUUUGACGUUACCAGCAGAAUAAGCACCGGCUAACUUCGUG